Molecule: ribosomal RNA, 468 nt
Filed under: uncultured bacterium
Lineage: Bacteria
Description: partial 16S ribosomal RNA
Rfam family: Bacterial small subunit ribosomal RNA
Source: RNAcentral
GACGAACGCUGGCGGCGUGCUUAACACAUGCAAGUCGAACGGAAAGGCCCUGCUUUUGUGGGGUGCUCGAUUGGCGAACGGGUGAGUAACACGUGAGUAACCUGCCCUUGACUUUGGGAUAACUUCAGGAAACUGGGGCUAAUACCGGAUAGGAGCUCCUGCUGCAUGGUGGGGGUUGGAAAGUUUCGGCGGUUGGGGAUGGACUCGCGGCUUAUCAGCUUGUUGGUGGGGUAGUGGCUUACCAAGGCUUUGACGGGUAGCCGGCCUGAGAGGGUUACCGGCCACAUUGGGACUGAGAUACGGACCAGACUCCUACGGGAGGCAGCAGUGGGGAAUAUGGCACAAUGGGCGGAAGUCUGAUGCAGCAACGCCGCGUGCGGGAUGACGGCUUUCGGGUGGUAAACCGCUUUCGCCUGUGACGAAGCGUGAGUGACGGUAAUGGGUAAAGAAGCACCGGCUAACUACGUG